CUCAGUUCCUGGCUAACCCACUGCAGGGACCUCUUGUUACAGAGCUGGAUUCUUUUUCUCAAUGUUUACAAAGGAGAGGAAUUGGAUGCACUGCUGAGACAACUGGCAUGAGCACUGUGCUCAGUUCAAACAUUUAUAAUUCCAGUAAAAGAGCAUUCUGCUUCAAACAGGUUCUUUGCGGCGACAGUAGCAGAAUGACCUCAUGAAUCUCUUUCUCCUGAUGCACUUGGCCAACAGACAAAUGCUUGAUAGAGCCAUUUUAACACUGACCCAACCUAACCAAGACAUUGGGAAACAGUGCUAUCACUGCACUGAUCUGGCAGGGAUGUAAAAGGUAAGGUUAUUAAAAGACUUUUAGAGUACAAAAACCAUUAAACCUAACAUGAAAAAGUGGUUAAUUGUCUUGUAUGAUGAUGAAUAUUAGGGAAAAUAUCCCAUGAAAAUGUAAGAGCUUUAGGGACUCAGUAAUCUAAGUCAUUCAGUCCCCCUUGAAUUUGCGUUGGUCUUUUGAUUCACUCACCAAACAGACAAUUCAGAAAACCAAAAAUCACAGGACGACUGCCAUCUCCACACGCUGGCAGCCUCCUCCUAGAGGCAGUUAGAGGGCUGGCAGAUUUCACCCUUUGAGAAUGAUUACAUACUCUCCGCUAUUUCUUCAGGAUGCUUCCCAUUGGCCAAAAACUUGAGAUUUCAACAAGUGGAAAUGUUUUUUAUACCCUCUGCAUUGUCAACACCCACCACCUAAACAAAGUCCUGAAAGCAUUAAAGGACUUAGUUGUAACACUUUCCUUGUGUUUUUCUGUGUAAUUUAAAAUAGUUUGUCCGCUCGCUGUAUGCUGAGGUUUUUGAUGUCAGUGAAAGGAAUAUUUACAGUGUUUGCAUUUUCCAUUUUCACAGGCACCACUGCAGUUCAAGAGUUGAGUCAUUUGCUUGUUGGAAGAACAAAUACUGUUGUUCCAAAUACCAUAAAAAUGAUUAAAAGUUUAAAGCUGCAGUUCUGGAGAGAAAAUGUAAACAAUUAUAUUUUCUUUGUUUUGCAGGGACGUUUGAGUCCUGUCUUCAAAGCCUUCCCACCAAAGGAAAUGCUCAUGCAGGCUCAAAAACCCUCACUAUGGCUUAAAUACCUGUGUAUGAGUAGCUGCCGGUUGGAGAUGUGUGACAGUGUUGACAGUAUCUGA
RNAcentral lists this long non-coding RNA (1178 nucleotides) under Scophthalmus maximus (turbot). RNAcentral's name for it is "lncRNA (ENSSMAG00000031215.1)". The record is from RNAcentral. Lineage: Eukaryota; Metazoa; Chordata; Actinopteri; Pleuronectiformes; Scophthalmidae.